RNAcentral lists this ribosomal RNA (274 nucleotides) under uncultured bacterium. Its description in RNAcentral is "partial 16S ribosomal RNA". It matches the Rfam family "Bacterial small subunit ribosomal RNA", at positions 523 to 796 of the family's 1533-position model. The record is from RNAcentral.
AUACGGAGGGGGUUAGCGUUGUUCGGAAUUACUGGGCGUAAAGAGUUCGUAGGCGGACUGAUAAGUAAGAGGUGAAAUCCCAGGGCUCAACCCUGGAACUGCCUUUUAAACUGUCAGUCUAGAGACCGGAAGAGGUUAGGGGAAUACCUAGUGUAGAGGUGAAAUUCGUAGAUAUUAGGUGGAACACCAGUGGCGAAGGCGCCUAACUGGUCCGGUACUGACGCUGAGGAACGAAAGCGUGGGGAGCAAACAGGAUUAGAUACCCUAGUAGUCC